RNA transcript from Drosophila bipectinata, 2882 nucleotides. It is a transcript of the gene named Neuropeptide F receptor, with no coding region annotated. Lineage: Eukaryota; Metazoa; Arthropoda; Insecta; Diptera; Drosophilidae. The record is from RefSeq and is a predicted model, not a curated record.
GUAGUUUCGCAAUUACAGUUUAACUAAUGCCAGCAACAGGACUUUUUAUCCAAAAUGUGCUCAGUGCCCUGAAACUGCGCCGAAGCAAAGCAAUCAAGCUGGGAAAAUUAUAAAAACUUAUGCAUACCAAUGCAUGCAAAACUGCAGUUUUCCAAGUCGCUUAAAAACACCAACAAUGUUGUGAAAACUUUCUUGGCUCAAGGCGUGUGGUUGUGGGCCAUCGGGGAUAAAGUUGGCCCCCAUCUUAUGGAAAUUUCAAGAAUUUGGAAGUAUUUUAAUUAAGUUCAUAUGCCAAUAAUAAACUUCGCAGAUGCCAGCAAAAAGGAUGACAAAAUAAAAACAAGUUUUUCAGAUUUUAAUAACCGUGUUCUCAUCAUCAAUUUCGUCCAUUUGCAGGAUUGUGUACAUUUUUACAGUCUCAUGUCGUACAAGACAAAAGGGAAAAUUCCCAUGAGUGCAUUUUAAAUUGCAAACUAAAUGAGCAGUUGCUUCUGUAGCUGUGGAAGACAACUGAGUACAGAAAGUCACUCGUGUCGCUUGCAGAUACAAACAAAAAAAUAACAAAACCCAGCAGAACAUACAAUUCCAUUCUACAAAUAUCUCCGGGGCCAAGCAGAUUGUCGGAGUGAUGAUAAUCGGCAUGAACCAAACGGAAUCGGGGCCCCUGGCAACCGGGGACCGACUCAGUGGAUAUGCGAGCAGCGGGAACAGUGUCCGCUAUCUCGACGACCGACAUCCCUUGGAUUACUUGGACCUGGGAUCCGUAGUGAGCAACGCCCACGCCGCUCUCAACUCGACGGCCACCAGCAACUUAUCGGAUGCGAACGAUACGGGAGCUCGGCCUCUUGAUCCAGUGUUAAUCGACCGGUUCCUGAGCAACCGGGCAGUGGACAGCCCAUGGUACCAUAUGCUCAUCAGUAUGUACGGCGUACUGAUUGUGUUCGGCGCCCUGGGCAACACCCUAGUGGUCAUUGCAGUCGUCCGGAAGCCCAUCAUGCGCACGGCCCGCAACCUCUUCAUCCUUAACUUGGCCAUCUCGGAUUUACUUUUAUGCCUGGUUACCAUGCCGCUGACACUAAUGGAAAUCCUAUCCAAAUACUGGCCUUUUGGGUCCUGCUCCAUCCUGUGCAAAACGAUUGCCAUGCUGCAGGCACUCUGCAUUUUCGUGUCGACAAUAUCCAUAACGGCCAUCGCCUUCGACCGAUAUCAGGUUAUUGUCUACCCCACGCGAGAUAGUCUGCAGUUUGUGGGCGCAGUGACCACCCUGGCGUGUAUUUGGGCCUUGGCCCUGCUCCUGGCAUCACCGCUCUUUAUCUACAAGGAGCUGAUAAACACGGACACACCCACUCUGCUGCAACAGAUUGGCUUCCAGGACACCAUACCCUUUUGCAUCGAGGACUGGCCGAGCAGCAACGGUCGCUUCUAUUACUCGAUCUUCUCGCUGUGCGUCCAGUACCUGGUGCCCAUCCUGAUUGUCUCUGUGGCCUAUUUUGGGAUCUACAACAAGCUGAAGAGCCGCAUCACCGUGGUGGCCGUCCAGGCCGCCUCCGCCCAGCGGAAGGUGGAGCGGGGACGGCGGAUGAAGCGGACCAACUGCCUCCUGAUCAGCAUCGCCGUAAUCUUCGGAGUGUCCUGGCUGCCGCUGAAUUUCUUCAACCUGUACGCGGACAUGCAGCAGUCGCCGGUGACCCAGAACAUGCUUGUGAAGUACGCCAUCUGUCACAUGAUUGGCAUGAGCUCCGCCUGCUCCAACCCGCUGCUCUACGGCUGGCUCAACGACAACUUCCGUAAAGAAUUUCACGAACUGCUCUGCCGUUGCUCAGAACCCACUAAUGUUGCUCUUAACGGUCACACGACAGGAUGCAACGUCCAGGCGGCAGCGGCCCGGCGGCGCCGCAAGCUGGGCGGCGACCUCACCAAGGGCGAGCUGAAGUUGCUGGGCAAGGGCGGGGCCUCCCAGUGCGGCGGUGGCGCCUCAACUUUCGGCGACGGUGGCGGCCCGGACGGCGGUUGCGGCAGCAUGGCCGCCACCGACUUCAUGACCGGAAACCCAGAGUACGGACAUCGCAGCGCUAUCACCGAGUCUGUGGCCCUCACGGAGAACCCCAUGCCCUCGGAGGUCACCAAACUGAUGCCGCGGUAAAGCACACGAGUUCUGGGGCAAAGCCGGGGGUCCCACGGUCCCAAGGUCCUCACGUCCUCAGUUUGGAACAGUACUGAAUUGGCAAUCAAUCCGGGAGCAGCGGGAGGCGGGAACAGUGUUCGAGUGAUGCGAUUUCCAGUUCGCUCUUAGAAUUUACAGUAAACAUAUGUAUAAUGCCCAGUGAUCCAAAGCCAAGCUGAGUUACACUAAAAUUAAGACACACAUCGCGGAGGAGUCUCUAGCCCUGUGCGAUAAUCUAUUCCUACACGAGCAUCCAAUCACCGACAUCAUCUCCAUCAUCGGACUAAGUCAGAUCUUUGGUUUCCAUCACUUUCGUAUCGAAUGCCGGAAAGUAAUUGAUUGAGCCCCCAAUUGGAUUUCGGGUGUUUGAUAAGUCGUAUAUAUAUAGAACACUUAAGACUUUGAUUAAGUUCUCUUAAUACAGUUCCUAGGAAAACCUUUCUUUUUUUCUCUCAGAGUAUUUCGUAUCAUAAUACCUAAAUGUAAGCCUAGGGUUAGUAAUAAUUGAUGUUCUGUUUGCUGUUUGCUAUUUUUAGGAUAACAUAAUUCACAAGCAAAUCUGUAUUAUAGUCCAUAACUGUAAACCUAAACAUUAAAUGAAAUGCCAGUUUUAGCCACAAUUGAAUCAUUUCAAAGCAAACGCUUGCCACCUUCAAGCAGUACACCAAUAAUGCUACAAAUACAUGUAUUUUAAUAAAUGUUGUUUACAAAUCCUGCA